RNAcentral lists this ribosomal RNA (459 nucleotides) under uncultured bacterium. RNAcentral describes it as "SSU rRNA". It matches the Rfam family "Bacterial small subunit ribosomal RNA", at positions 26 to 518 of the family's 1533-position model. The record is from RNAcentral.
AGAAUCAACGCUGGCGGCGUGCCUAACACAUGCAAGUCGAACGAGAAAGUGGAGCAAUCCAUGAGUAAAGUGGCGCACGGGUGAGUAACACGUGACUAACCUACCCUUGAGUGGGGGAUAACCUAGGGAAACCUGGGCUAAUACCGCAUAAUACCUUCGGGUCAAAGGAGCAAUUCGCUUAAGGAGGGGGUCGCGGCCGAUUAGUUAGUUGGCGGGGUAAUGGCCCACCAAGACUGUGAUCGGUAUCCGGCCUGAGAGGGCGCACGGACACACUGGAACUGAAACACGGUCCAGACUCCUACGGGAGGCAGCAGUGGGGAAUUUUGCGCAAUGGGGGAAACCCUGACGCAGCAACGCCGCGUGGAGGAUGAAGUCCCUUGGGACGUAAACUCCUUUCGAUCGGGACAUUAUGACGGUACCGGAAGAAGAAGCCCCGGCUAACUUCGUGCCAGCAGCCGC